This 228-nucleotide long non-coding RNA is filed under the name Elaeis guineensis (African oil palm). RNAcentral's name for it is "long non-coding RNA (EGUI_LNC019214)". Lineage: Eukaryota; Viridiplantae; Streptophyta; Magnoliopsida; Arecales; Arecaceae. The record is from RNAcentral.
GCAUGCUUAUAUCCGAAGAUUUUUUGCUGAUAUUCAACCCAAGAGUCAUAAAUUCCUCGUAUACAUCCCUCAAAAAUCAUAUAGAAUCUUUCCGAAUACAUCACUAGAACUCACUAAACACCCCUUCAAAUUUUUGCAUUUAUGUGCAAUCAAUGUCAAACACAUUAUACAUAAUAACAUAAACUAUGCUACAAUAAGUAUACACAUGAACUUCACUGUAUGGCCCCA